GUGCCAGCCGCCGCGGUAAUACGGAGGGUGCGAGCGUUGUUCGGAAUUAUUGGGCGUAAAGCGCGCGCAGGCGGUUUUACAAGUCUAUGGGUGAAAUGCCGGGGCUCAACUCCGUGCGUGCCCAGGAUACUGUGAGACUGGAGACAUGUAGAGGCAAGCGGAAUUUCGGGUGUAGCGGUGGAAUGCGUAGAUAUCCGAAAGAACACCGGAGGCGAAGGCGGCUUGCUGGGCAUGGUCUGACGCUGAGGCGCGAAAGCGUGGGGAGCGAACAGGAUUAGAUACCCCCGUAGUCC
RNAcentral lists this ribosomal RNA (293 nucleotides) under uncultured bacterium. RNAcentral describes it as "partial 16S ribosomal RNA". It matches the Rfam family "Bacterial small subunit ribosomal RNA", at positions 505 to 796 of the family's 1533-position model. The record is from RNAcentral.